ACCUGAGUGGUUCAGUCGGUUGAGCGUCUGACUUCGGCUCAGGUUAUGAUCCGCGGUUCGUGAGUUCAAGCCCCACAUCGGGCU
Molecule: transfer RNA, 84 nt
Filed under: Felis catus (domestic cat)
Lineage: Eukaryota; Metazoa; Chordata; Mammalia; Carnivora; Felidae
Rfam family: tRNA
About the family: Transfer RNA (tRNA) molecules are approximately 80 nucleotides in length. Their secondary structure includes four short double-helical elements and three loops (D, anti-codon, and T loops).
Source: Rfam by way of RNAcentral